GCUCCUUUCUUUUAUAACAGGUGAUGGGAAGCAAAACAAGGAUUUAUCUCCAUUGUGCUGGAGUUUGUUAUGGGUGGAGAGCUCCAUGAUAUCAUACCAUUAUGCUAAUGGAGAACCCAAAAGCAGGAAGGGGUCUGAGGUUUUCCAAGUGGCUCCAUCUCUCAAUGUGGCUGAGCUGAAGAAGGCAAAGGGAGAUACUCAAAAUGUACAAAUUUUACUCAAACAGUUCAAAUAAUCAAUAAUUCAGUAUACAAAUCUUACUCUGUCCAUGGAGCUGAAGGACGUCGUUCGGGAGCAUGAUGAUUAAGUCCAAGACAGAAGUUCCUCACCAUGAAACAGUUGUAGAAUUUUAAGCUUACAGAACUCAUUGUGGUGGUGGUGGGGAGGGCGGCUGAGAUGAGGGAUAUGUUGUUAGUUUUCCCUGUACAUAGCUCUUGUUUUCAGCGCCUAAGACCUGAUAAUGAUGAUCUGGAAUGAAUGAAGAGGUACAUGAAACAGAUGAGAAGGCUGUUUCCUGUAGUGAAUACUGGAAUAUGGUGCUGAUAUAUUCAUAGGUUCAGAAUAUAAUGUAUGUUAUUAGUCGGUCAAACUUCGGGAAGACAAUGUUGCCUCCAACAAUACAACACCUUGCACUGGAUGUCUGAAUCCAUUUGUUUCA
Molecule: RNA transcript, 658 nt
Organism: Zea mays
Lineage: Eukaryota; Viridiplantae; Streptophyta; Magnoliopsida; Poales; Poaceae
Gene name: Calcineurin B-Like (CBL)-interacting protein kinase pseudogene
Exons: 3
Source: RefSeq, a predicted model, not a curated record